GCGAUGGCACUAAUGGGACGUGAGUUUGUGCCCACUAAUAGCAUCCUGCCGUACUUCUGAAGAAAGUGUCUGCUUUGUCUCCGCAUUUGUCUGUGACAGAAGAACAUUACCCAGGCCCGGGCUCCCAUUCUAUUAAUACAUUUGCUUAAUUACGCUGUACAGAGAGUGCCAGGCUGGCAGACAGACUGCAGAACCUCUGCUAUCACUGGAAGUGCUUUGGUGAAGAAGACAGCGGUGACAUCACAGGCAGUGACAUCACCCUGUGACACGCUCCCCGUGCCCUGCAGCCCCUCUGACCCUGCCCGGCGCUGGCACAGUGCAGACGGGGGCCGCCCCCAGCAAAGGGCACGCGCUCAGACAGUGCGUCCCUAUGGCACGGCCCUGGCAUCCCGCUGCCGAGCACUCCUCCUGCCCCCACCACGGGCUCUCUGUCUAUCUGCAUUUCAGCAGCGCCUAUCAGCCCCCGCAGACAGCGCGUUGGAUGGACAGGAACCAUCUGCCUCCAGGUCAAGUGGCCGUGACAGCCGUCCGCUGGCCGCCGAGGCUUCGCCACCGUCUUCCCAGAGCCUCCGGCUGAUUGCGGCACCCCUGUUCCCUCCCAGGCCUCCCCCAUUGCCUCGCUUUGGUGGAUCAACACCAUCACCAGUGCUGCCAUACCUGCACGUGGGGCUGCAAACAGCUCUGGGGCUGCUGAAUGGCUCAAGUUUGUGUUUGCCCUCCUGAAAUCCAUACAGCGAUUGAGGGCUGGAGCAGGGAGAGCUUCCAACAGCCCCGUUACCCAAUUACCAGUUCUGUCCUCUCCAUUGAGCUUGACAAUAACAUUUGUGGGAAAUUUAAGAGAGGGCAGCGCUCCUCCCUGCUCACAGGAGGAAUGAAAGCCUCGCUGCCAUUGGCUUCCAGAUGUCAUCUUGUAUUUUCUAUAAAGGUUUACAGAGACCCCGGCUGGCCCUGGAGACACCAUCCAAGGAGCAAGCAGGGGGUGCCACUUGCACUUUGCACGAGCCCGUGUGGGGCUGCAGCUGAAGCCAUGGCUCUGCCCUGUGCUGGGCUGCAUGGGGAGGGCACAGCCUUCUGGGAGCAGCUUUUUGGGAGCAGAUCGGGCUGUGGGGAGGAGCCUGAAGAGGAAGAACUCCCCAAGCCCCCAGUCUGCUCAUGGGUUUGAUGCACUUCUCCCCUUGGAUCUUGCACUCCCAGCACGGCACACCAGGCAGGAGCGGUGCAGGGAGCAGGAUGGGCCCUUCUGGCCCUUUGUUUUGUAUCUUCGGGAACACAAGUUGCCAUAGGAACCACAGCCCGGACUCCUCAUUAGCAGCCCUAGGUCUGGAUGUCAGAUGAAAGGAGCUGCUCCCUCUCCAACCCCACUGCCCUCCUGCCCUGCCGGAGGCAGGGAGAGCUGUGCCCGGGGUGGCAGCGAAUCCCCGGCUGCCCCAGGGACGUGGAUGGGUGUUACAGUGGGAACGGAGCUGUAGGAACGCACUCGCCUUCUCGUUCCCUGCCUGCAGCAGCGCCUUUGAAAGCACAACAUGCAUCUACCGUUGGCAGCACUGCAGAGCGCGGUGCCCGCCCGCCUGCUGACCCUCUCUCCAAGGAGGAGCUAUUUAAAGCACCGCAUCGAACAACUCCGUCUGCCCGGAGAGGCACUUAGAGCACUUCCCAUAGGUUCCAGGGCUGGCUGCAGGCAGGGAAGGGCUCCUUGUAGGGCACUGGUGAGAGGAGGACCUGCUCACAGCUGCACACCCGGAAUGACAUCAGCACAUCCACCACUACCCAGCAGUGUAAUGGCAUCAGCUAAUCCCCAGCGUCGAGUAAUCUGCUGCCACUGGGACGACACGAAGGAAAGCAGAGCCGGACCCAUCCCUGCUCAUUUGCCCAGCCCUAAUCCCAGAGAAGCAAGCUAAUAAGGCAUGGAGCUCAGUACCUGCUUGCCUUUAUUAAAUUCCCCGCAUCACUCCUACAUUAUAUCCAUCCUUGCCAACUGGAUCUGCCCCGCUUCAGAGCCAGCAAGAGAGGACACAUUUCCAACCAACCCCGGGCUAAAACCUAUUUAUUUGCUCGCACUAUCUGAUGAAUCGUGAAAGCGUUUAAAGCAAAAGGAGAACCCAGGGCUGAUGCAGCAUCACUCGCACCGGCCAUGCUGGGACCAGCUGGCCCCCAGCCCUCACCCUGCCUGCACCAUCCCGCUCCGUCUCCCUCACCCACGGCUCCUCCAGGAGCGGGAGCCCUGCAGGACGGGGCUGUGCUGUUCACAGCAGCAUUCCUCCUUGCUGAGCUGGGGAUCCACCAGCACAGGAGCACAGCCCCACGCAGACCGUAAAUAAACAGCGACAAGUGCACGCAC
RNAcentral lists this long non-coding RNA (2338 nucleotides) under Gallus gallus (chicken). Its description in RNAcentral is "long non-coding RNA NONGGAT009307". Lineage: Eukaryota; Metazoa; Chordata; Aves; Galliformes; Phasianidae. The record is from RNAcentral.